RNAcentral lists this ribosomal RNA (459 nucleotides) under uncultured bacterium. RNAcentral's name for it is "bacterial SSU rRNA". It matches the Rfam family "Bacterial small subunit ribosomal RNA", at positions 29 to 532 of the family's 1533-position model. The record is from RNAcentral.
AACGAACGCUGGCGGCAGGCUUAACACAUGCAAGUCGAGCGCGUAGCAAUACGAGCGGCAGACGGGUGAGUAACGCGUGGGAAUCUACCCAACCCUACGGAAUAACGCAUGGAAACGUGUGCUAAUACCGUAUACGCCCUUAGGGGGAAAGAUUUAUCGGGGAUGGAUGAGCCCGCGUUGGAUUAGCUAGUUGGUGGGGUAAAGGCCUACCAAGGCGACGAUCCAUAGCUGGUCUGAGAGGAUGAUCAGCCACAUUGGGACUGAGACACGGCCCAAACUCCUACGGGAGGCAGCAGUGGGGAAUAUUGGACAAUGGGCGCAAGCCUGAUCCAGCCAUGCCGCGUGAGUGAUGAAGGCCCUAGGGUUGUAAAGCUCUUUCACCGGUGAAGAUAAUGACGGUAACCGGAGAAGAAGACCCGGCUAACUUCGUAGCCAGCAGCCGCGGUAAUGUGACUACUG